This 521-nucleotide ribosomal RNA is filed under the name Streptomyces sp. CG11. Its description in RNAcentral is "bacterial SSU rRNA". It matches the Rfam family "Bacterial small subunit ribosomal RNA", at positions 1 to 539 of the family's 1533-position model. Lineage: Bacteria; Bacillati; Actinomycetota; Actinomycetes; Kitasatosporales; Streptomycetaceae. The record is from RNAcentral.
UCACGGAGAGUUUGAUCCUGGCUCAGGACGAACGCUGGCGGCGUGCUUAACACAUGCAAGUCGAACGAUGAACCACUUCGGUGGGGAUUAGUGGCGAACGGGUGAGUAACACGUGGGCAAUCUGCCCUUCACUCUGGGACAAGCCCUGGAAACGGGGUCUAAUACCGGAUACGACACUCUCGGGCAUCCGAUGAGUGUGGAAAGCUCCGGCGGUGAAGGAUGAGCCCGCGGCCUAUCAGCUUGUUGGUGAGGUAACGGCUCACCAAGGCGACGACGGGUAGCCGGCCUGAGAGGGCGACCGGCCACACUGGGACUGAGACACGGCCCAGACUCCUACGGGAGGCAGCAGUGGGGAAUAUUGCACAAUGGGCGAAAGCCUGAUGCAGCGACGCCGCGUGAGGGAUGACGGCCUUCGGGUUGUAAACCUCUUUCAGCAGGGAAGAAGCGAAAGUGACGGUACCUGCAGAAGAAGCGCCGGCUAACUACGUGCCAGCAGCCGCGGUAAUACGUAGGGCGCGAGC